CCAUGUGUUCGAUGCUAGCUGCUCAUCCACAGCACCUGCUCUCCGAGACUCGUGAAGUCUACACUAAGCAAGAUAAAACAAACAAUAUAAACAAUAGCUGCGAGCAGUGGAAAGAUGAAACAGAGCUGAAAAGGGAAACAGCAAGAAAAGCAAUAAAGGGCUGAGUGAAGGAAAGAAGAUCUUACUGUAAUGGAAAGAAAACAGCAUCCUGCUCGAUUCCUCUUUGACCUUUGCUGCUACUUAAUUUUGAAUUUUGUGUAAUGAUACUGAAGAAGCGAUGAGAGGAUCUCCAACAGCAGAUGUCCCUGAAUAUGGUGAUGAAAAGAUAUUCACUAAAGCAACCACAUGAGAAUGCUCAAGCUGUUCACAAGCCACCCAUCCAUGGGAGUCAUCUGUCUACAUAGCAUGCUGCCUAGAGAAAUCAGAUCAACAUUCCAGACAGUAGUUAUCAUGUUGUCUAGAUCAUACUUCUUCCCAGAGCACAUCCAAGAGGUGCUCACAUGAACACUCUGGCUGGAAGCCCUGCCUGGGCCUACAAGUAGCUCUGAUAUUGAAAAGACCACAAAGAACUUAACAUAUAUCUGGGUAUUGGGCAAAAAGAAGAAAAGACACUUACCUAUUUAUGAGAAUGAACCAAAGAGCUUUGGUUAAGAAGCCCUGUACAUUAUAGAACUACUCUAGGCCACGCGUGGUGGCUCACGUCUGUAAUCCCAGCACUUUCGGAGGCCAAGGCAGGCAGAUCAAUUGAGGUCAGGAGUUCAAGACCAGCCUGGCCAACAUGUGAAACCCAUUUCUACUAAAAAUACAAAAAUUAGCCAGGUGUGGUGGCACGCACCUGUAAUCCCAGCUACUUGGGAGGCUGAAGUGAGAGAAUCCCUUGAAUCCCAGAGGUGGAGGUAGCAGUGAGCCAAGAUCACGCCACUGCACUCCAGGCUGGAUGACAGAGCAAGACUCCGUCUCAAAAAAAAGUACUACUCUAAAAGACAAGCUUGACAAUUCUGGGAGACUAUUCUUCAAAAUGACUUAAAAUAUCCUGAAAUAGCUUAUCGUAUUGACCAAAAAGAUUCAUCAUGUUUUCAUUUGUUUAUUUAUUUUUAGUUUGGGAUGCUCUGAAGGAAAACUUAGACUGAUUUCCCAGUUAAAUUGCUCAUUCCCACUAAAGCUCAUACAUUAUUUGUAGCAGUAUACCAACUGUAAUUUACAAUGAAUUUCGACAAUCAAAAUGUAAACCCCAGGGGAAGGACCAAAUCCGUCUUGUUUGCCAUCAUAUCCCACAGGCCUGCUCGGAGUCAGACUCUCAGUAGAUAGUUGUUGAAGGAGUGUGUACAUGUAUGAACAUGGAAAAAAACACUUACUGACUACAUGCCAGGCACUGGGAACCAUGUGAUGUAGUUUGAAUGGCCCCUCCAAACCUCAUGUUGAGAUGUAAUCCCCGCUGUUGAAAAUGGGGCCUGUUGGGAGGUGUUUGGAGCAUGGUGGCAGAUCCCACAUGAAUGGCUUGGGCCAUCUCCUUGGUGAUAAGUGAGCUCUCACUCUGGGCUCACAUGAGAUCUGGUUGUUUAAAAGUGUGUGGCGCCUCCCUCCACUCUCUCUCUCACUUGCUCCUGCUUUCCCCAUGUGAUAUACCACCUCCUCUUUCAUCUCCGCCAUGAUUGUACGCUUCCUGAGGUCUCCCUAGAAGCUGAGCAGAUGCCAGUACCAUGCUUCCAUUAAAGCCUGAAGAACCAUGAUUGAAUUAAACCGCUUUUCUUAUAAAUUAUCCAGUCUCAGGUAUUUAUUUAUAGCAAUGAAAGAAUGGCCUAAUAACACCGCGCUAGGUACAGAUUAGGCAAGCAAAAG
RNAcentral lists this long non-coding RNA (1839 nucleotides) under Homo sapiens (human). RNAcentral describes it as "HSALNT0138496". Lineage: Eukaryota; Metazoa; Chordata; Mammalia; Primates; Hominidae. The record is from RNAcentral.